UAGUAAUCACCUUAGCAAGCUCAGCAUUCAUACACUUACCAUUUCAUUCACUUCACAUAUCAAAGCAAUGGUAUCAAGCAACCAGAUUCUUCAACAAAACCCAACUACCAAUAUAAGAAAAAACAAACCAAAUGAAUGGAAUUGAUGGUGUACACAUACCUAACAUGGAUGAAAAACAAUAUUCCCUCAAAUUUGCUAACCCUAAUCUCUCACAUUGCUACAAAACAUGAUGAAUCUAUUAUUAAAGAUAAGCAAAGGAAAUAAUGACGAUUAAACAAAC
Long non-coding RNA from Gordionus sp. m RMFG-2023, 280 nucleotides. RefSeq lists it as uncharacterized. The transcript has 4 exons. The record is from RefSeq and is a predicted model, not a curated record. Lineage: Eukaryota; Metazoa; Nematomorpha; Gordioida; Chordodea; Parachordodidae.